RNAcentral lists this ribosomal RNA (274 nucleotides) under uncultured bacterium. RNAcentral's name for it is "partial 16S ribosomal RNA". It matches the Rfam family "Bacterial small subunit ribosomal RNA", at positions 933 to 1215 of the family's 1533-position model. The record is from RNAcentral.
UGGAGCGUGUGGUUUAAUUCGAUGCAACACGAAGAACCUUACCAAGGCUUGACAUGUUGGAAGUAAUGAACCGAAAGGGGAAUGACCUGUAUCCAGUCAGGAGCCAUCACAGGUGCUGCAUGGCUGUCGUCAGCUCGUGCCGUGAGGUGUUGGGUUAAGUCCCGCAACGAGCGCAACCCUCGUUGCCAGUUAUUUUCUCUGGCGAGACUGCCCCGCAAAACGGGGAGGUAGGUGGGGAUGACGUCAAGUCAGCAUGGCCUUUAUAUCUUGGGCA